CAUGCAAGUCGAACGCUUUGUGGUUCAACUGAUUUGAAGAGCUUGCUCAGAUAUGACGAUGGACAUUGCAAAGAGUGGCGAACGGGUGAGUAACACGUGGGAAACCUACCUCUUAGCAGGGGAUAACAUUUGGAAACAGAUGCUAAUACCGUAUAACAAUGACAACCGCAUGGUUGUUAUUUAAAAGAUGGUUCUGCUAUCACUAAGAGAUGGUCCCGCGGUGCAUUAGCUAGUUGGUAAGGUAAUGGCUUACCAAGGCGAUGAUGCAUAGCCGAGUUGAGAGACUGAUCGGCCACAAUGGGACUGAGACACGGCCCAUACUCCUACGGGAGGCAGCAGUAGGGAAUCUUCCACAAUGGGCGAAAGCCUGAUGGAGCAACGCCGCGUGUGUGAUGAAGGGUUUCGGCUCGUAAAACACUGUUGUAAGAGAAGAAUGACAUUGAGAGUAACUGUUCAAUGUGUGACGGUAUCUUACCAGAAAGGAACGGCUAAAUACGUGCCAGCAGCCGCGGUAAUACGUAUGUUCCAAGCGUUAUCCGGAUUUAUUGGGCGUAAAGCGAGCGCAGACGGUUAUUUAAGUCUGAAGUGAAAGCCCUCAGCUCAACUGAGGAAUUGCUUUGGAAACUGGAUGACUUGAGUGCAGUAGAGGAAAGUGGAACUCCAUGUGUAGCGGUGAAAUGCGUAGAUAUAUGGAAGAACACCAGUGGCGAAGGCGGCUUUCUGGACUGUAACUGACGUUGAGGCUCGAAAGUGUGGGUAGCAAACAGGAUUAGAUACCCUGGUAGUCCACACCGUAAACGAUGAGUGCUAGGUGUUUGAGGGUUUCCGCCCUUAAGUGCCGCAGCUAACGCAUUAAGCACUCCGCCUGGGGAGUACGACCGCAAGGUUGAAACUCAAAGGAAUUGACGGGGACCCGCACAAGCGGUGGAGCAUGUGGUUUAAUUCGAAGCAACGCGAAGAACCUUACCAGGUCUUGACAUCCCUUGACAACUCCAGAGAUGGAGUGUUCCCUUCGGGGACAAGGUGACAGGUGGUGCAUGGUUGUCGUCAGCUCGUGUCGUGAGAUGUUGGGUUAAGUCCCGCAACGAGCGCAACCCUUAUUACUAGUUGCCAGCAUUCAGUUGGGCACUCUAGUGAGACUGCCGGUGACAAACCGGAGGAAGGUGGGGAUGACGUCAAAUCAUCAUGCCCCUUAUGACCUGGGCUACACACGUGCUACAAUGGCGUAUACAACGAGUUGCCAACCCGCGAGGGUGAGCUAAUCUCUUAAAGUACGUCUCAGUUCGGAUUGUAGGCUGCAACUCGCCUACAUGAAGUCGGAAUCGCUAGUAAUCGCGGAUCAGCACGCCGCGGUGAAUACGUUCCCGGGUCUUGUACACACCGCCCGUCACACCAUGAGAGUUUGUAACACCCAAAGCCGGUGGGGUAACCUUCGGGAGCCAGCC
RNAcentral lists this ribosomal RNA (1445 nucleotides) under Weissella confusa. RNAcentral's name for it is "bacterial SSU rRNA". It matches the Rfam family "Bacterial small subunit ribosomal RNA". Lineage: Bacteria; Bacillati; Bacillota; Bacilli; Lactobacillales; Lactobacillaceae. The record is from RNAcentral.